UCCCUGGUGGUCCAGUGGCUCAGACUCUGCAUUCCCAAUGCAGGGGGCCUGGGUUCAAUUCCUGGUUGGGGAA
Molecule: transfer RNA, 73 nt
Filed under: Ovis aries (sheep)
Lineage: Eukaryota; Metazoa; Chordata; Mammalia; Artiodactyla; Bovidae
Rfam family: tRNA
About the family: Transfer RNA (tRNA) molecules are approximately 80 nucleotides in length. Their secondary structure includes four short double-helical elements and three loops (D, anti-codon, and T loops).
Source: Rfam by way of RNAcentral